GGGGGCAUAGGCUAAUGGCAAACUGUCUCUCUCCAAAAGAGAAUUUCCAGGUUCGACCCCUGGUGCCCCCGCCA
RNAcentral lists this transfer RNA (74 nucleotides) under bacterium. RNAcentral's name for it is "tRNA-Trp". It matches the Rfam family "tRNA". Rfam says of the family: Transfer RNA (tRNA) molecules are approximately 80 nucleotides in length. Their secondary structure includes four short double-helical elements and three loops (D, anti-codon, and T loops). The record is from RNAcentral.